UACGAGGGGUGCAAGCGUUGCUCGGAAUUAUUGGGCGUAAAGGGUAGGUAGGUGGUCUCAUUUGUCUGGGGUGAAAUCCUUGAGCUUAACUCAAGAAGUGCCCCAGAAACGGUGAGACUCGAGUACUGGAGAGGGUCGUGGAAUUCCCGGUGUAGCGGUGAAAUGCGUAGAGAUCGGGAGGAACACCAGCGGCGAAGGCGGCGACCUGGACAGUAACUGACACUCAACUACGAAAGCGUGGGGAGCAAACAGG
This 253-nucleotide ribosomal RNA is filed under the name uncultured bacterium. RNAcentral's name for it is "partial 16S ribosomal RNA". It matches the Rfam family "Bacterial small subunit ribosomal RNA", at positions 524 to 776 of the family's 1533-position model. The record is from RNAcentral.